Ziziphus jujuba (common jujube) is the source of this 134-nucleotide small nucleolar RNA. The record is from RefSeq and is a predicted model, not a curated record. Lineage: Eukaryota; Viridiplantae; Streptophyta; Magnoliopsida; Rosales; Rhamnaceae.
AUCCCAGAUAAGCUCAGAAUCUGUGCUUAGCUGAUUCAUAGGAGGCCCAUAACAAAGUCUUGGAAGUUUCGCUGAUAAAUGCCUGUUUUACUCAUUAAUAUUAGGCAUUUACUAGUAACUUUUUCCGUACAAAU